This 776-nucleotide ribosomal RNA is filed under the name bacterium C-TJ10. RNAcentral's name for it is "bacterial SSU rRNA". It matches the Rfam family "Bacterial small subunit ribosomal RNA", at positions 66 to 846 of the family's 1533-position model. The record is from RNAcentral.
ACGCUGAAGCUUGGUGCUUGCACUGGGUGGAUGAGUGGCGAACGGGUGAGUAAUACGUGAGUAACCUGCCCUUGACUCUGGGAUAAGCCUGGGAAACUGGGUCUAAUACUGGAUAUGACCUCCUGUCGCAUGGUGGGGGGUGGAAAGGGUUUGUACUGGUUGUGGAUGGGCUCACGGCCUAUCAGCUUGUUGGUGGGGUAAUGGCCUACCAAGGCGACGACGGGUAGCCGGCCUGAGAGGGUGACCGGCCACACUGGGACUGAGACACGGCCCAGACUCCUACGGGAGGCAGCAGUGGGGAAUAUUGCACAAUGGGCGCAAGCCUGAUGCAGCGACGCCGCGUGAGGGAUGACGGCCUUCGGGUUGUAAACCUCUUUCAGCACGGAAGAAGCGAAAGUGACGGUACGUGCAGAAGAAGCGCCGGCUAACUACGUGCCAGCAGCCGCGGUAAUACGUAGGGCGCAAGCGUUGUCCGGAAUUAUUGGGCGUAAAGAGCUCGUAGGCGGUUUGUCGCGUCUGCUGUGAAAGCCCGGGGCUUAACCCCGGGUGUGCAGUGGGUACGGGCAGACUUGAGUGCAGUAGGGGAGACUGGAACUCCUGGUGUAGCGGUGAAAUGCGCAGAUAUCANGAAGAACACCGAUGGCGAAGGCAGGUCUCUGGGCUGUUACUGACGCUGAGGAGCGAAAGCAUGGGGAGCGAACAGGAUUAGAUACCCUGGUAGUCCAUGCCGUAAACGUUGGGCACUAGGUGUGGGGGACAUUCCACGUUUUCCGCGC